This is a non-coding RNA of Paramuricea clavata, 969 nucleotides long. The record is from the annotation of a GenBank genome assembly. NCBI's taxonomy places the organism in Eukaryota, Metazoa, Cnidaria, Anthozoa, Malacalcyonacea, Plexauridae.
GUCCGGAACAUUUGCAAAAUUUCGAUUGUCAACAACUGACCGAAAAGCAGGGCCUUUUUUAACAUACAAGCUGGGGGGGGGGGCAUUUGCCCCCCAGUCCCCCCUUGUGCCCCCCCCACGAAAUCACAUUUUGCCCCCCCCCCCCAGGAAAAGUCCCUUUUUCCUAAAAUUAUAGGCUACAAACAAUCCAGCGAAGAUUAACAAAUAGAUAAACGGAAAGUAAGUUUUAGGUUUUAUCCUUUGUUCUUGUUUAACAAAAUCGAUUUAAAUUGCGACUCAGUUUUACCACUAAGCCAUGAUAAAUUAUUGUUAAUAUUUUUUUUUAUUUUUUGGAUGCUCAGAAUGCAGAAAAUAGCAUUUCACGGUUUCAAAUUUCAAACAUUUUCUUGGGAUUAUCCCUCUAAUAAGUAAUGAUAAAUUACAGUUAAUAUUCUUUUUUACUUUUUGUGCAUUUUUCCAUCUUUUAUUUCAAAUACAAGUAUAGUUAGCAUAAAUUUUAGAGCAAAUUUGGAUGCUCAGAAUGCAGGAAAUGGCAUUUCCGUGUUUCAAAUUUCAAAAAUUUUCUGGGGAGUACACCCCCACACACGUGACCAUUGGGAUCCUCCUCUAAUAAGUAAUGAUAAAUUAUGGUUAAUAUUUUUUUUAACUUUUUGUGGGUUUUUUCCUUCUUUUAUUUCAAAUACAAGUAUAGUUAGUAUACAUUGUGGAGCGCAUUUGGAUGCUCAGAAUGCAGGAAAUGGCAUUUCUGUGCUUCAAAUUUCAAAAAUUUUCUGGGGGAGUACACCCCCCUCAUUCAUGCGUGCAUGGUAUGUUCAGCGCACACGUGGCCUUCAGCCAUUGCUGUCUCCCUGUAAUAUAUUAUCUCACAGAAAGGUCCCUUUUCAAAAAAUGCCCCCCCCCCCCACGGGAAAAUCCUUAAAAAAGGCCCUGCCGAAAAGUAUGUUUUAACAAGGCAGAAGUUUUCGAAAG